AUGCAAGGGCUUAACCGGAUAAACAAUGCUGAGGAGCUGCGCCAGUUUGUUCAGCUUUGGACCAAGGUUCAAGGGACAACAUUGUCGACGGAGAAGGAUGCCAUCGUUUGGAACCUCACUGCCAAUGGUGUAUAUCCGGCCUGCUCGGCCUACGAGGCCCAAUUUUUCUCUAGGAUUGAGAGGCCACGGUUGGCCAGAGUGUGGACGAGCAAGAUGGAGGGGAAAGUGAGGUUCUUCUUAUGGCUCUUGCUCCAGAACAGAAACUGGACUGCUGACCGAUUGCAAGCAAGAGGCUGGACACAUAAUGAUCUCUGCAAGCUCUGCAAUCAGGAACCUGAAACUGCGAACCAUAUUGCUCUGCUCUGCCCUUUUGCCAAGGAGAUUUGGUUCCAGUUCCGACGUGCUCACGAUGCCAUGUGUGUUGUGGCCGAUGACGCGCAGACCAUGGGCGAGUGGUGGGAAAGGUUGUGCUCUGCCAGAGGGUCGAGGGAGCAAUGCAGGGAGGACAUGACCGUGGCUGCCUACAUAGUGUGGAACCUCUGGAAGGAGAGGAAUCGACGAGUCUUCGAGCAUAAGCAACUGACAGUUCUUGCGCUGACUGGGCUCAUCAAGGAUGACAUCAAGUGUUUUGGGGAGGCAACUAGAGGGGUUCACACUGUUGGGUUGUAA
This 669-nucleotide ribosomal RNA is filed under the name Triticum aestivum (bread wheat). Its description in RNAcentral is "partial small subunit ribosomal RNA". The record is from RNAcentral. Lineage: Eukaryota; Viridiplantae; Streptophyta; Magnoliopsida; Poales; Poaceae.